AGUCUUGUAGUAUAACAAUUUACAUAUGAUUGCAAAUCGUAAAAAGGAGAAAGAUUCUCCCGGGGCUU
RNAcentral lists this transfer RNA (68 nucleotides) under Torpedo marmorata (marbled electric ray). RNAcentral describes it as "tRNA-Cys". The record is from RNAcentral. Lineage: Eukaryota; Metazoa; Chordata; Chondrichthyes; Torpediniformes; Torpedinidae.